UGUAUUUAAAUGCGAUUUGUAAUCGCAAACUGCAAGAGAAAACUUGUGCUCAACGUUUCUGCAUGGAUACAUUUUUAAACAAUGGCUAUACGAGUGCAACAGAUAAACGUCCUCUAGGGAGCGGGCAAGCCGUCGGUUGAGCUCAGUGAUCACGAUAAUGACGUAACGACCGGUAUCAUUGUCGCAGGUCACGGCGCCCAAGUUCCCGGUGGUGAUCAAGAUAGGGCACGCGCACUCCGGCGUCGCCAAGGUGAAAGUGGACUCCCUGGCUGACUUCCAGGACAUCGCCGGGGUCGUGGCUAUGCUGGGCACCUACUGCACGGUGGAGCCAUACAUCGAUGCAAAAUACGACAUCCACAUACAAAAAAUCGGCACUAACUACAAGGCCUUCAUGCGCAAAUCUAUAUCGGGAAAUUGGAAAACUAAUCAGGGAUCUGCGAUGCUUGAAGCUAUCGGGAUGAACGAUAGAUACAAGAUGUGGAUCGAUGAGGUGCGUAUCUACCUGUCAGGCUUUUAUAU
Long non-coding RNA from Trichoplusia ni (cabbage looper), 519 nucleotides. RefSeq lists it as uncharacterized. Lineage: Eukaryota; Metazoa; Arthropoda; Insecta; Lepidoptera; Noctuidae. The record is from RefSeq and is a predicted model, not a curated record. The transcript is spliced from 3 exons.